UUCUAAGGGCGUUGAAGCAUGAUCGUAAGGACAUGUGGAGCGCUUAGAAGUGAGAAUGCCGGUGUGAGUAGCGAAAGACGGGUGAGAAUCCCGUCCACCGAUUGACUAAGGUUUCCAGAGGAAGGCUCGUCCGCUCUGGGUUAGUCGGGUCCUAAGCUGAGGCCGACAGGCGUAGGCGAUGGAUAACAGGUUGAUAUUCCUGUACCACCUAUAAUCGUUUUAAUCGAUGGGGGGACGCAGUAGGAUAGGCGAAGCGUGCGAUUGGAUUGCACGUCUAAGCAGUAAGGCUGAGUAUUAGGCAAAUCCGGUACUCGUUAAGGCUGAGCUGUGAUGGGGAGAAGACAUUGUGUCUUCGAGUCGUUGAUUUCACACUGCCGAGAAAAGCCUCUAGAUAGAAAAUAGGUGCCCGUACCGCAAACCGACACAGGUAGUCAAGAUGAGA
Molecule: ribosomal RNA, 442 nt
Filed under: Listeria monocytogenes
Lineage: Bacteria; Bacillati; Bacillota; Bacilli; Caryophanales; Listeriaceae
Description: bacterial LSU rRNA
Rfam family: Bacterial large subunit ribosomal RNA
Source: RNAcentral